ACUAUAUAUACACCAGAUCUCAUUUGACUUCAGGUGCUAAGCAGGAUCAGCCCUGGUUAGUACUUGGAUGGGAGACUUCCAGGAGCACCAGAAA
This 94-nucleotide ribosomal RNA is filed under the name Pogona vitticeps (central bearded dragon). The record is from RNAcentral. Lineage: Eukaryota; Metazoa; Chordata; Lepidosauria; Squamata; Agamidae.